This 492-nucleotide ribosomal RNA is filed under the name uncultured bacterium. RNAcentral describes it as "partial 16S ribosomal RNA". It matches the Rfam family "Bacterial small subunit ribosomal RNA", at positions 29 to 507 of the family's 1533-position model. The record is from RNAcentral.
AGUGAACGCUGGCGGUAGGCCUAACACAUGCAAGUCGAACGGCAGCACAGUAAUAGCUUGCUCUUACGGGUGGCGAGUGGCGGACGGGUGAGGAAUACAUCGGAAUCUACUUUUUCGUGGGGGAUAACGUAGGGAAACUUACGCUAAUACCGCAUACGACCUACGGGUGAAAGCAGGGGAUCUUCGGACCUUGCGCGAUUGAAUGAGCCGAUGUCGGAUUAGCUAGUUGGCGGGGUAAAGGCCCACCAAGGCGACGAUCCGUAGCUGGUCUGAGAGGAUGAUCGGCCACCCUGGAACUGAGACACGGUCCAGACUCCUGCGGGAGGCAGCAGUGGGGAAUAUUGGACAAUGGGCGCAAGCCUGAUCCAGCCAUACCGCGUGGGUGAAGAAGGCCUUCGGGUUGUAAAGACCUUUUGUUGGGAAAGAAAAGCAGCAGGUUAAUAACCAGCUGUUCUGACGGUACCCGAAGAAUAAGCACCGGCUAACUUCGUG